GAUGAACGCUGGCGGCGUGCCUAAUACAUGCAAGUCGAGCGAACAGACGAGGAGCUUGCUCCUCUGACGUUAGCGGCGGACGGGUGAGUAACACGUGGAUAACCUACCUAUAAGACUGGGAUAACUUCGGGAAACCGGAGCUAAUACCGGAUAAUAUAUUGAACCGCAUGGUUCAAUAGUGAAAGACGGUUUUGCUGUCACUUAUAGAUGGAUCCGCGCCGCAUUAGCUAGUUGGUAAGGUAACGGCUUACCAAGGCAACGAUGCGUAGCCGACCUGAGAGAGUGAUCGGCCGCACUGGAACUGAGACACGGUCCAGACUCCUACGGGAGGCAGCAGUAGGGAAUCUUCCGCAAUGGGCGAAAGCCUGACGGAGCAACGCCGCGUGAGUGAUGAAGGUCUUCGGAUCGUAAAACUCUGUUAUUAGGGAAGAACAAAUGUGUAAGUAACUAUGCACGUCUUGACGGUACCUAAUCAGAAAGCCACGGCUAACUACGUG
RNAcentral lists this ribosomal RNA (497 nucleotides) under uncultured bacterium. RNAcentral describes it as "partial 16S ribosomal RNA". It matches the Rfam family "Bacterial small subunit ribosomal RNA", at positions 28 to 507 of the family's 1533-position model. The record is from RNAcentral.